UCCAGAGCGCCUGCGCUAAACCCGCUUCUCGGCGCCAUUUUGUCCUGGCAGCGGUGGCCGCGGCUCUACCGCAUUUUGUGUUGGUGGACCGAAGCGCUAGGCGUCUUCAUCCGGAAACGUUGGGAACAUUGGAAACUUUGUCCAUAAGGCAUCCUUCAUGGCUUCAUAAUAAUAUAUAGAAUAGAUGAAUAAUAAUUUAUUAAGACUGAUUUUGUGGAACAGUGAAGCAAGAUGUUACAGUUGACUUGAGAUGCUGUCUGUUGAAAAUUCUGUUUCUGGUUUCUUCAUGAAGGAUGGGAAUAAAAGCAAAUGGAAAAUCAGGUAAGUGCUCUGGAAUCUGCAAAUCAAAACUUUGUUUUUUAAACCUUUUUCUUUUCAGGUAACAGUAUCAGUAGUUACUAUUGUAAGGCACUCAAUUCUUAGGUUCUGUAUUCAUGUCAGUAAAAUAUACCAACUGUUCCUUUUGCCCAGAGGCAGCCACAGCUCAACGACAGCCAUAGUGUUGCCCCUAGAUUUAUUAAUCUCUGUGUGGUGUGUGUGACCAUUAACUGUUGUCUUUCAUAGUAGCUGUAGAGCUAGGGGGGUGUGUGUGUGUAUUUCAGAUAGCUUCAAUUUGGCCUGCAUGUUUCAACUCGGGUUUCUUGAGAACCAGUAUUUUCUAAAGCAUUCUGUCAGGUAUCAUGAGAACUUAGUUAAGUUACACUCAGGACACAGUAAGAGGAUUCAUACUUUAGUGAAGUAUAGGAAUGGCUAUAGUUUUGUUUAGGGAGACAAACUUUUCUGUCUUUAAUUAAAUUCAGAUGUUUUUCCAAGGCUGGCACUUUUGUCAUUCUCAGGUAGAUGUGAAUUUUAAAAUGUAGUUGGCAAUUUUAUAUAAAAAGAAACCAUGGUAAUGAAAUUCUAGUUUUUAAGUUGAUUCUAUAGCAGCCAUUCUAUUCAGGCAUAAUGAUUUGCUAAACGGCAUACAUGCUCAAAGUCCAGCCGUAUGCUACAGUUAACUCAGUGAUGAGAUUACCUUCUUAGGAAAGCCUAGCAGUUGAUGGCAUGAGCCCAAUAAGGGUGUGUGUAGCUAGCCUGAAUUCAGGCUGUUUGUUCCUCCUUUUAGUACUGCUGUUGAGGUUAUGACAGCUGUUUAAGUGACAGAAUAGGGACUUUAUUGGUCCUUAAAAUCCAUGCCUCACCACAAAAAAAUGAAAGUACCCAUGACUGGCAUGUUCCAUAGUUGCUUGUGAAAAAAACUAUCACAAACUGAUUUUUAAGAGAUUAAUUUAUUUGAAAGAUCACCAUGCCACAGAGAAAUCUUCCAUCUGCUGCUUCAUUCCCCAAAUAGUCAAAACAGCUAGGCCUGGGCCAGGCUGAAGCCAGAAGGUAAGAAUUCCAUCCGGAUUUUCCUACCAGGGCCUAACCGCUUGGGCCAUCUCCCACUGUCUUCCCAAGCGCAUUAGCAGGGAACUGGAUCAGAGGUGGAGCAGCCAGGACUCACACCAGCGCUCAGUGGGACAACCUGUUUGUUGCGCCUCACUCUGCCCCUCCUUUCCCCUGCAAACCGAAAUUCUGUAUCACAUCUACAGUUUUAACUGUGGCUGAUGACCAACAAUCAUUUUACUAAAUUAUUUACAUGGGUAACACAUGGAUGCUCCUAGUGAAGCCCAGCAAAGAUCUUUUAAAGUGAUGGAAUGGGGCUUCAAGUUUGACCCAAAGUCUCUAUUUGCAGUAUUUUAACUAAGGAAUUUUUAAGUAGCAUAUACCUUUAUUUUAAUAUAAAUGUUCUCAAUCCCACCCAUUUUGUCAGAUAGUAACCAAACUUCAGUAGUUACAAGACAAAAAUUUAAUGAAAAUUGAUCAGUGGGUUAUUUAUAAUCCACAGGCUAAAUAUCACGAGAUGGUAGUAGAAAGAUGCAGAAGUAAUUGUUACAUAUUGUCAUCAUCUGAUUCAUCUUCUUCCUUUAAAGAUUCCUGUAAGAGAAAAAAUAGCACUUAAAAUCAACUUUAAAUAUUGUUACAGCCCAUAUAUAAGAGCAAGUUGAGAUACAGCAACCUGAAUUUAAGUAAGCAUUUAUUAAUGGUAACUGAAUGGGACACAGAUUUAGGAUGAAAUUCAAAUAUAUUCUUGCUCUGAAGAUCAAUGGAUACUUGAUGUAUCCUGAAAAAUCUUACAGUUUUCACCAAGGGAAGAAAAAAAAUCCCUUUUUGAGUUGAAUUUGGAAAUGUGUUACUUAUAAGGUAACUUACCUUAGCAUAUUUCUCUGCUUCUUCUCUUACAUCUUUUGGAACAAUUUCAUGCCUUCCUUUAGUUACUGUAAAUUAAGCCAUAUAUUUAAACAAAUUUAAAAUGCUUUCCUAUAAGUGAUCCUCAUUUUUUAAUGUUUCCUCAUGAGAUUUUAUGUGCUCAAAUUUUUAGAAAUUAAUCCCAAGCAUUAAUUCAUAGCAUGAGAUCAAUUUUGGGCGAUUUCUUAGAUAUUUCAAAAAGAAAACUUCACAAACUCUGUUAAAUACACAGAAAUUACUUACAUUCACCAACCCAGCUGAGCUCUAACUCAAAAGCUUUAUCCUUAACUUCAUCAUGUACUAUGUAAAUUCUAGAAGAAAAAAAAAAACAUUGGAGGUGACCAAAACACUGCAGUUUACAUACCCAGUCAGUACAAAUUAGAUUACCAAGUUAAAAUAAAUAAAAUUAUGUAGACUCAAAUCUGAAUUGCGAGUAUCAGAAUAAGCUACAGAGGACUUGAGUAGACUGAAACACUUUCAUUCUCCUUAUAAAUGCUAAAUGAUAGCUUGUCUGGCUUAUUUUGAUACAUUGCUUAAAAGCCAUAAAAAACCAUCUCAAGAGUACAGAAAUGGGUAAAGUCAAGGCUACCACCUGAAGCCAGCAAUGGGCAGGCAGCAGGUUCAUGUCCCAGCUGCUCCACUCCAACCAAGCUCCCGGACACGAGAAAACCAAUGGAAGAUGGUUCAUGUUUGGGCUUCUGCCACUACACAGAAGACCCAGAUGAAGUUCCUGGCUUGGGCCUGGCCCACCACUGGCUGUUCUAGCGGUCUGGGGAUUGAGUCAGCAAGUAGAAAAUAGUCUCAUCUGUAACUCUUCUGAAAUAAAUCUUUAAAAAUUUAAACAUAAAUGAGAACCAGGCCAUCAUUAACCAUCCCUUCUCAGGACGCUAUUUCCUUUCAUUAAGGAAAUAAAGCCUAGUAAUUUAUGUGCCCUAUAUUAGAAGUUGUUGCCUCAACCUGUAGCUUCUUGGCUGGAGUUUAAAAAAAAGAUUAAAGUACCAAAAGGCUAAAGUCACAGUGUAGCUUUAUAUUUUCCACUUUAUUUUAUAGGGUAUUUUAAAUUAGUUAUUUUGUAAGCAGUUCUGUAUGUUGGUUCUCAGUGUUUCUGUUACUAAAUGACAAUUAAUAGGUGACAGUGGCAAGAAUGGUGAACGAAGUUUAUGAGUUUAAAAAAGACUAUGAUUGCUGUUUAAACUUUACCAGUAUGUUUAAUCCUUUUUUUUUCCCCUUGUAUGUAUAAUGGUUUAUAAAACCACUCAGGUUCUUCAGCUUUGUGGAUGUCUACUAUUCCACUGUUGCACCUUAGGCUUUCUUGAGCUGUUUUUUAGAAGUGUUUUUGAAAUACUAUUUUUUCUCAUCCUGUUGAAGAACUUUUAUUAUAUAUCUGAAAAAGUAGAAAGUGAGCCAGCCUUAUGGAUCAUGUAUAGAAAUAAUUAACUUGUAAAUCACACGAUAAAUAAAGUUGCUAAGCUUUCUUGGUGGUGUUCUGAUUAUUGUUAUUUUGGGGAUGUUAACAAAUAAAGCCCCUACAAACGUUCACUAUGUCCUUCACAUGUCAAAUCUCGUUGCCCACACAGGAGCAGGAGCUUGUUUUCUCAACAUUCAUUCUCAUUCUUGAAAUACUCAUUUUCUUCAUGAGGAUUCUUAGACUGUCAAAUUCUCUCCCUAAAAAUUACAUACUGCUAUUUUCAAACAAAAUAGCCCCAUACAUAUGCCAAGACAAUGUGAAAUAUCUUUGUGGAUGUAUCAAGGAAAAUUUGAACUUACAUUUUGGCAACUUCUUUAACAACAUCACGGCAGGUCAUUUCUUUCAUCUACAGAAAAUAAAAUUAUGCAUUUUCCAUUUGUGUAACUGCACAACUGUUACCACUAACUCAUGGUCAAGAUAGAUUCUCAGAUGUAAAAACAAAACAAAUUCCAAAAAAAAAAGAUAAAUUUCCUGAUUUUUAUUUUUAAAUUAACAUGCCAAAAUUCAUAUUGGAGAUAACCACUAAUUUUCUGGUAAAACUUAGAUAAGCCCAAGUCUAAUUCAUAAGUAGACCCAGAGCAAAAGCUUGGUCAUACUAGAAUUCAACAUUCUUGGAGGGACUGUUGAUGGGGAAUCAGAAUAGAAAAAUAGCCUGUAAGCACUAACCAUAACAAGUGAAGUAGCCUGUAAGAAAUCACUGCAAGAGAUUUAUUAAUCAUACACGUCUCAGGAUCAACACAAAGUCUGAGCAAAGUGACAUUUGUGUUGUGGAUACCUUGAGAUAGAGAACGUCAAAGAGUACUCAACACAGUAAUCCAGACUUAAAUGUCAUUCAAUUUACUGCAAAUGGGGUUCAUGAAUUUUUACUAAUUUAUUUUAGAAAUCCUAAAGUUCAAAUGAUGGCUGUACAACCGAGGAAGAAAAACACAACCCUAACACUUGAGUUUAAGGAUACAAAUCUUGGGGCUGGCAGAUCUACCUUGAUCUGUUGCCUACAACACUGGCAUCCCAUAUGGGUGCUGGUUCAAGUCUUGGCUGCUCUACUUCACAUCACCUAAUGCACCUGGGAAAAAGGUGCAAGAUGGGUCAAGUGCUUGGGUGCCUGCACCCAAUUGGGACACCUGGAAGUUCCUGGCCCAGCCCCAGACAUUGCAGACACUUGGGGAAUUAACCACCAGAUGGAACAUAGAUCUCUGUCCAUCUUGAAACACUGCCUUUCAAAUAAAUAAAUCUUUAGUCUCAGAACAGCACGUUGGUACAACCACAAAAGCAACUGGCGAAAGCAACUUAAAAUAUUUUGUGAGGACAAAGGAUAGUUUAAAAGAGAUGUAAAAUAAGAAAUUCAAUGUGAACCUUGAUAGUAUAAUUCAAAGUUAAAAAUAUUGUGGAGACUGAGGCAAUUCAGUUAUGGAAUAUAAGAUGAUGCUUUAAGUAUGAUAUUGGUAUCACAAGGAGAUGAGUGAUGAUGCACUCAGAUUCAGUGUCAUCGCUGCAACUUCUCAAAAAGUUUAGGGGGAAAAAAAACAAAUGGAUAAAAUGCAGGGAAAAGUCUAAAUAGACUUGUAACAUUCUUACUCCUAUCUGAUGGUUAGCGUUAAUCAGUUAUAUUUUUUCCAUGCUAAAGUAGAGGUAAAAGGAAGGGAAACAGUACUUUUGUAUUUUUGCUCAGUAAGGUUACUGAGGUUUACAUUUAGCAAAUUAAUUGCAUUCUACAAUAGCAAACUUUUGUACAGGGCCAAGUAGUAACUAUUUCAGACUAUCAGCCAUAUAUAUGUAUGUGUAUAUAUAUGUAUGGCCUCUGUUCCAAAUAUUAAAAUCUGUUGUAGUGUGAUUCUGGCUCUGGGAAGAAAAAGUGGGUAACUGUAACAGGCUAGGCGUCUUGCUCUAGCUAGGAGCAAGGUACAGAGAAGCACUGAGAUCACAGACAGACACUGUCCCAAAGAAAUGUUACAGAAAAAAAAUACUACGUGUAACUUUUUAUGACAGUAACUCAAAAUUUAAAAACACCAACAUUCUCACACUAGAGCUUGUGAAGCCAUAAAUGGACUUCAUGAAAGAUUCUAUUUUUUUUCUGUUUUGUGGGUUUAUAGCAACCAUCAAAAUUAGAGGGAACUACAGCACAACUGUACAUAUGUUACCAGCUUUCCUACUCUGUACUUAGCUGCACAAAGCUCUGCUCUAAACAACCAAGCCACACUAUAACCUUGGGUGGGGAAAUUAGGCACAGGAGGCAAUUCAAAGAUAGUGCCCAAAGGAAGUAAGGUGGGCGGAACCCAAAGUUGUUUACCACCAAAGCUAAUUGGCCACACAACAUCGGGGGAGGUGACAACAACUAAUGACAAGUAUAUAGACAUAUGGAUGGUCCUGUAAAAACACUGCCCCGUAAAAUGGCCUUUUAAGUAACUGGUUGGUCCUUAUGCCCUGCCCCAAUAGUCCUGCAGUUUUGUGCUUUAAAAGGCUUUGCUACGCACACAGUAAAUGAGUUCUUGCCUGACUUGACUCCCCACUGAUCAAGGGAGGCUGGGGAACGGGUGAGCGGUGCACUUAACCUUUCCUCAGACCCAGUCCAUCCUUGUUUGGGUGGACUAAGACCCUGCAACCUUGGACUGAAAGGUUUACCUUAUGGUAAUAAAACUUCAGCACAUGAGGAUGGUGAUGAGGUAGCAAAGGUUAAAGCAUUAAAUGUUACCUGAAGCUUCUCUAUUUCUGUCUUUGCAGCUUGCCUGGCUUUGCCAAUGGCACAGCCCCAAUAACCCUAUUUAAAAAAAAUACAAAAAAAAGAAUAAUCACUUGAUUGUCAUGCAUUCCAUCAAUAGUGACCACUGCUGUUUCUACUUGCAAGUUAAUCAAAGGAUAGUAAAUUACUUUUAAAACUCCUUGUUAAUGCACCUGUCGAAGCAGCACAAGAUGGCCUAAGUGCUUGGGCCCCUGCACCCACAUGGAAGACCAGAAGAAGCUCCAGGUUUCAGGCUUCAGACCUGCCCAGCUCUGGCCAUUGUGACCAUUUGCCAAGUAAGCAGAUCGAAGCUCUCAUGGGAUCUCUCACUCUCUCUAAAUUCUGCCUUUCAAAUAAAUAUUUAAAAAAAAAAAUAAACUACU
Long non-coding RNA from Lepus europaeus (European hare), 6835 nucleotides. RefSeq lists it as uncharacterized. The transcript has 5 exons. The record is from RefSeq and is a predicted model, not a curated record. Lineage: Eukaryota; Metazoa; Chordata; Mammalia; Lagomorpha; Leporidae.